RNAcentral lists this ribosomal RNA (253 nucleotides) under uncultured bacterium. RNAcentral's name for it is "partial 16S ribosomal RNA". It matches the Rfam family "Bacterial small subunit ribosomal RNA", at positions 524 to 776 of the family's 1533-position model. The record is from RNAcentral.
GACAGAGGCCUCGAGCGUUAGGCGGAAUCACUGGGCUUAAAGCGUGUGUAGGCGGGCCCGUAAGCGUCUUGUGAAAUCCCACGGCUCAACCGUGGAACUGCUGGGCAUACUGCGGGUCUUGGGCCAACUAGGGGCAGCCGGAACAAGCGGUGGAGCGGUGAAAUGCGUAGAGAUCCGGAGGAACACCAGAGGCGCAGGCGGCUUGCUGGGUCUGUAUUGACGCUCAGACACGAAAGCAUGGGGAGCGAACGGG